RNAcentral lists this long non-coding RNA (1154 nucleotides) under Salmo salar (Atlantic salmon). RNAcentral describes it as "lncRNA (ENSSSAG00000100006.1)". Lineage: Eukaryota; Metazoa; Chordata; Actinopteri; Salmoniformes; Salmonidae. The record is from RNAcentral.
GAAGUGAGUGGUUUGUGACGCACAAGAGCAACCGUGGGUUAAUGCUCAAUCUGAUUGAAUCAAGCCUCUAAUUUUAGAAGAAGAUAAAAAGGUCUGGAGUACAGCAGUCUAUAUGGAAACUAGUGAUGCGUUGCCACUAGUGAUGCAUUUUUUUUUCAUGGGUGGAGUUGCCUGGCAGCAGACUGGGAUGUGGGUGAAGAAAGCAGGUACUAGUUGCAGCAGACUUGGCACUGGAGGAAGCAGGUUAGACUUUAGUGGGAGCAGCCUGGGUGGGGCACGCAGCAGGUUAGACUGUAGUGGGAGCAGCCUGGGUGGGGCACGCAGCAGGUUAGACUGUAGUGGGAGCAGCCUGGGUGGGGCACGCAGCAGGUUAGACUGUAGUGGGAGCAGCCUGGGUGGGGCAUGCAGCAGGUUAGACUGUAGUGGGAGGAGCCUGGGUGGGGCACGCAGCAGGUUAGACUGUAGUGGGAGGAGCCUGGGUGGGGCACGCAGCAGGUUGGACUGUAGUGGGAGCAGCCUGGGUGGGGCACGCAGCAGGUUAGACUGUAGUGGGAGGAGCCUGGGUGGGGCACGCAGCAGGUUAGACUGUAGUGGGAGGAGCCUGGGUGGGGCACGCAGCAGGUUGGACUGUAGUGGGAGCAGCCUGGGUGGGGCACGCAGCAGGUUAGACUGUAGUGGGAGGAGCCUGGUGGGGCUGGCAUCAGAGAAGUCAGUAGUGGUGGUGGUGAAGUCAUCCAGAACACUACCAACUGUGGGGUCCAUUGCAUAGUCCUCAAAAUCAGUCUCCUCCGACUCAGGGCCCAUAGCCUGCAUGGCCUUCCCAGUCUGCCUGAGCAGGUAGUCCACACACCAAUCAACUCUCCUGAAAAUGAAACAAGACAAAAAUGUAUAUGAAUAUGAAUAUGAUUACUCACAAUAUCUUCAUCAUAUCAAAACACUGAUUGUCACAUCUGCUCCCACUCCCCCUCUUUGGUGCUCGAGGUCACCAGUUCACUCAUUACGCACACCUGCCACCAUCGUUACACACACCUGCGCUUAAUUAUGGUACUCACCUGGACUCCAUCAUGUCAUUUACCUUCCCUAUAUCUGUCACUUCCUCAGUUUCAUUCCCGAGUCAGCAUUGAUAUAGUUAUGUUUCUCCUGUCCAGACGCUC